UUCCAGCCAAACAUUCAACUACCAGCCAGGGCAUUGCACUGCGGUUGAAAACACAGAGCUGACUGAGUGCAACCAUCUGGUUUUUGUUUGAACAAAAUCGGCCCAGGGGUUCAAGAGUUCCAGUCAAUAAAGGAGUUCCAAACCCCAGAAGAAUCUCCAAGUCGAGUUACAAAAUUGUGAAGUCAGCCAGAAAUCAGUGACGUAACCUUGCAUAACUCAAGGUUCUGGAUCCUGGGCCGCUUGGGAGUUAUAUAACAUGACAUAACAAUGGACCAUUUUCAAAAAUUUGUAUCCAUAAAAGUAUUGUGUUGAUUUCCUUCAUUUUGGAAACAUUUGUAUAAACCAGCCAACUCUUUCACCCUAUCAAUCUUGGGACUAUCUGCCAGUGAUGUCAAAUUAAUUGAUUAUUUUUAAAAUACAACUUAAGACUUAACGAGAACAUGGCACACUCCCUCCCAAUAUACCAAAUAUGCACUUUUGUAAAAUGUUAUGAAUGCUUAAGUGUUUAAGAAGUAAAAGAAGGGUUAGCUAAUGAAAUAAACUAAUUCAAAGUACACUUAAUGUGAAAAUUUUGAAAUUAAUUAGCAUAUUAAUUAAGGUGUUAAUUAGCGUAAUGAAGAAAUAUUGACAAUUUUUCAUCUUGCUUCAUACAAAUUGCCCACAUUUGUGUAGAACUAGAAGGGAUUGAAAUACAACUUUAUGGAAGCCUUAGUAAAACUAAGUAAUUUUUGUCAAUGAAUUAGCAUAUUAAUUAGUUCUUAAUUAAGAAAUAAUCAAAAAAAAUCAUCUGAAAGUGUUCAUUUUGUUUUACUUUGGGUUUCAAAAAAUGACCAAGAAAACUGUGGAGAUGAGAACCCCUUUAAAGCUUGAGCACACUGUAGACUACAUGUAGUGACUAUUGUCUUAGCCCUGAGGGUCAGCUCAGCUGUUUAUAAGAAACCUUGAGAGGUGAUGAAUGACUCACCACAGGAUUAGCCUUAGGCCAAGGGGUCAACAAAGCAAGCUGAUAAGUGUCUCGUGUUAUUGGAAGUACAUCAUGCGUGCAUGUACAUUUGUUAAUGUAAACAUUUUGUAAACCAGUAUAGAAAACUGUUUGGGUAUACAUGUACAUAUGUAUUCAUCUUUUACAGAAAUCUUAAGUCUGCAAUUUGAAGCAAAAUUAAUUAGUAUUUGUUACUAAGUAAUGCCAACUGAGCAUGCUAAGGAUUAUCGACCUCGUCAACGCACAUGACGAACUUGUUUUUUUUUUGUGGGUAAAGUUUUCGUUUUUUCCCCGUUUUUAUCGCUUGAAAUCCAAAGAGCAAUGUGACAAUAGAAUGAAAUAUUAGACAAGAAGAAAAUGAAAUCGUCAAAUUAAAAAUGACAAUCUAGAAACAAUCGUAAAAUUGCCUACCCUUUCUAAAUCCGCACAGUAAAAAAAUGGUCCGAUAAUGCACUUUGAGUCGCAACAAAAUACACAGUCGUGAAUAGCGCGACCGCAACGCGGUCAGUCUGUUCCCACCCUGUGUGCUGCGCGUUACCGUACAAAUGACGCGGACCACUAGGCACUAGACCGAUGACUCAUCAUCGUCGACGUCAUCAAUGGCUUACAAACUCUUUCCCAGAGCCGCGCCUUAAAAGUGACCAUAACAAAAAUGUGCCUCGAUCUCAAGGAUCGACCCAUACAUUGUUGGAUAGAGCACGAGACGACCGUUCCAUUGAUAUGCGGGGGAAGGGCGUACUCCCUAAAGAUCAAAAGUUAUUCGCUUUUAAAGGUUUUCUUUUGUUUUAAGACCUAAUUAAUAUUCAUGAGGCACGGAGUAACAGUCAGUUUUGAAUAAAACCAAGUCUAAGCUUUAAUUUGA
This is a long non-coding RNA of Patiria miniata (bat star), 1844 nucleotides long. RefSeq lists it as uncharacterized. The transcript is spliced from 2 exons. The record is from RefSeq and is a predicted model, not a curated record. NCBI's taxonomy places the organism in Eukaryota, Metazoa, Echinodermata, Asteroidea, Valvatida, Asterinidae.